RNAcentral lists this transfer RNA (88 nucleotides) under Candidatus Peregrinibacteria bacterium. Its description in RNAcentral is "tRNA-Leu". It matches the Rfam family "tRNA". Rfam says of the family: Transfer RNA (tRNA) molecules are approximately 80 nucleotides in length. Their secondary structure includes four short double-helical elements and three loops (D, anti-codon, and T loops). Lineage: Bacteria; Candidatus Peregrinibacteriota. The record is from RNAcentral.
GCCGUCGUGGUGGAAUGGUAGACACGGGGGACUUAAAAUCCCCUGCCCGUCACUGGGCGUUUCGGUUCAAGUCCGGACGACGGCACCA